AGCAGACAGAGCAGAUGUAGAUUCUACCCCUUGUUCCUGCCUUUCUCUCUUGCAAGUUAAAGGUUUCUAUCAGGAGCCACAGUAACGGUGGUGGUCAUGGUUCUGUGAGGUACACGUACACAGUUCCCAAAAUGCCUAGAGGUUUAUGUAGAUGGUCACUGGAAACCUUAUAUAUGUCUGCAGAUACUAAUCUCCAAUGCCGUGCUACACUAUGAUUCCCUGAGCUGGAAUCCUUCAACUCAGUGUGGCUAAAGUUGCCAAAACUGAGAUCGCUGCUUCCAGAAUAAGAUGGUGUCGCUCCAAGCCAUCAAUCCGACCCACUCAAGAUCCAGGGGAAACUAGAAUCUGAAGGAUGGAAAACUGUAAUUGGGAGAAACAAUGAACAUGAAUUAGACUUUGAGAGAUGGUGGAAGAUAGAAGGGUCUGGCAUGCCACGGUCCAUGGGGUCAUGAAGAAGAGUUGGACAUGACUGAAUGACUGAAACACCACCACCACCACCACCACCACCACCACCUAAUGUUAUUCUGUACUGAAAAUCUAACUCAGAGAUUAUAGAGUUUGUUAUUGUCUAAUAUAAAUCAAAUGCAAUGUUGGGGGAGGGAGAAGCAAUUCGUAGUGGCAAUUUUAAAGGGAUAGCUGAAAAAAUAUAUUGAUAAGAAUUUAUCCUAUAGAAUCAGAGAGAAGGUGUGAUCCACAGAUUUUAGUAAGUAUCUAUGAAGAAGAAAGAGAAAAAGGUGGAAACAUACUUCUUUCUUGUGAGAACUAUCAAAUUUUCUUUUACAAGAAAAUCCUACAAAGACAAAUUCAUAAAAAGAAUACUAUAAAGAGCAUGAAAGAAGCUGAGAGGAAAGACUAAUCUUGUGAAGAAAUAUUAAUAAGAUUCUUAAAAAGAUUUAAUCAGUAUUGGGAGAGAACCAGACAGUUUCCAGAUAGGAAGGAGGAGUUAAAUACUGUUAUACUGAGUUUAAGGUCACAUACAUUGUAACAUUAAUCAUAGCCAAAAUGUUAUAAAUAAGUUAUAUAUAUAUAUAUUAGGUUUAUUAUUGUUUUUAUUUGUUAAUAUAGCUAAUCAAUAAUUUUAAUAUUUAAUUAUAGAUGUUAGAAUAAUUAUUCAUGGAGAAGGGGAUUUCUCUAGUUAUUAGAUCAGGAAUGGAAACUUGUGCUAUUAAUUAAGGUAAUGAUAGCAAAUUUACUAAUAAAAAAUAAAGUAUUUGAUCAUAAUCCUACAUUACUAUAGAGUUUUGAAGGAUACUCUAUUGCAGUAAAGACAGAUGUGAGUAGGUUAUGGAGGGUGGGUGGGAAAGAAGACUUCAGAGUUGUUUUAGACCCAGAAUUGUCAAGUACUACUGUUGAUCAUCUGAAUUACAAGGCCAAAGGAAAGGAAAGCUAUCUUGGCACGGGGUGGGUCUCCGUUUCCAGACUAGUGCAAGAUGAGAAAAGAACCUAAGACAAAUGAUCCACAGCAGAACUUGGCCCCUGUACUUUGCCAAAAUGAGAGAGGGCUCAUUAUAUUCUUUCACUUAAUUCAACUUGUUCUAACCAAUGAGUCAGAAAAAUCUCAAUAUUUAAAAAGAAAAAAAAAACCCAGAGAUACUUCCCAAAUGGGGAUUGUUCAUCUGUUCAUUUGUUUUUUUAGGGGGAAGGGCAAGUGGAGACUGGAUGAUCUAUAAGUAAGCGUGGGUAGAAUCCAGGCAAUUGCUAUACAUGUAUCUUCAUUCCAAUUUGACUGAGAUUACCUCUUCUUUAUAGUAGCUGGGGCAUAAUUUUGCAUGAUCUUGACUAUAGUUCCUUAGUAUUUGAGUUCUUUCUUUCCAGUUUCUUGUAUUUUUCUUUGAUUAGAAGCUUUGCAUUUGGGCUAUGAUAGCCCUGGGGGUUUUCCUUUUUUUUCUUUUUUUUUAAGUAAUAAAUAUUUUAAUUUAUAG
Dromiciops gliroides (monito del monte) is the source of this 1922-nucleotide long non-coding RNA. RefSeq lists it as uncharacterized. The transcript has 3 exons. The record is from RefSeq and is a predicted model, not a curated record. NCBI's taxonomy places the organism in Eukaryota, Metazoa, Chordata, Mammalia, Microbiotheria, Microbiotheriidae.